AUGCGUGUGGGAUGCAAGGUGUUGUAUGGGGAUGUGGAGAUGAUGCAUGCAUGGGAUGUAGGGCUGCAAGGACAAAUUGUACCCGGGGGUGCCGCCGCCUCCCGUAUGUACCCCCCCCCGCCCCCAAAAAAUGGGGAGAUUUGGGUAGUUCAGGGGGAUUCGGGGCCGCGCUCGUGGCCCCAGAGCCAUCGGGGGCCAGGACCUGCCUGGGGGUGUCCCACAAAAGGGCUGAGGGGCCGCCCCCCCCCGCCCCGAGCCCCGGCGCUGUUGUUGUUCCAAACCUGCUGGUUUCUGGCCAGAAAAGGCGAGGAAAAAAAAAAAAAACACCACCCAACUCUAGGAUUUUUUUUUUUUUUUCCCUUUUCCGUAGUUGUCUCCGCGUCCAAACUUCCUGAGAGCGGCUCCGGGCCCUCCCUCUGCUUCCGACGGCCGCGCUGCGCCUCCCAGCCCACGGGGGUCCGGGUCCCGGCCCGCUGGGGGUCCUGGUCCCAGCCCGGAGGGGGUCCCGGUCCCGUCCCGGAUGGCGCUGCGGGCCGCGGCGCUGGUGGUGCACGCCUGCCUCCUGGCCGCCCUCCAGCCCGGAGACCCCAACGUCUGCAGCUACUGGGAGAGCUUCACGGCGGCAGUGAAGGAGUCGUACG
This 641-nucleotide long non-coding RNA is filed under the name Anas platyrhynchos platyrhynchos (common mallard). RNAcentral describes it as "lncRNA (ENSAPLG00000023101.1)". The record is from RNAcentral. Lineage: Eukaryota; Metazoa; Chordata; Aves; Anseriformes; Anatidae.